GCUGUCACUUAUGGAUGGACCCGCGUCGCAUUAGCUAGUUGGUGAGGUAACGGCUCACCAAGGCAACGAUGCGUAGCCGACCUGAGAGGGUGAUCGGCCACACUGGGACUGAGACACGGCCCAGACUCCUACGGGAGGCAGCAGUAGGGAAUCUUCCGCAAUGGACGAAAGUCUGACGGAGCAACGCCGCGUGAGUGAUGAAGGCUUUCGGGUCGUAAAACUCUGUUGUUAGGGAAGAACAAGUGCUAGUUGAAUAAGCUGGCACCUUGACGGUACCUAACCAGAAAGCCACGGCUAACUACGUGCCAGCAGCCGCGGUAAUACGUAGGUGGCAAGCGUUAUCCGGAAUUAUUGGGCGUAAAGCGCGCGCAGGUGGUUUCUUAAGUCUGAUGUGAAAGCCCACGGCUCAACCGUGGAAGGGUCAUUGGAAACUGGGGAGACUUGAGUGCAGAAGAAGAAAGUGGAAUUCCAUGUGUAGCGGUGAAAUGCGUA
This 492-nucleotide ribosomal RNA is filed under the name Bacillus cereus. Its description in RNAcentral is "bacterial SSU rRNA". It matches the Rfam family "Bacterial small subunit ribosomal RNA", at positions 211 to 692 of the family's 1533-position model. Lineage: Bacteria; Bacillati; Bacillota; Bacilli; Caryophanales; Bacillaceae. The record is from RNAcentral.